GACCGCUUGGUGUAGGUGGAACAUCCCAGGCUCAUGUCCUGGGGAAGGGGGUUCGAGUCCCUCAGCGGUUG
Molecule: non-coding RNA, 71 nt
Organism: Blyttiomyces helicus
Lineage: Eukaryota; Fungi; Chytridiomycota; Chytridiomycetes
Source: the annotation of a GenBank genome assembly